This 253-nucleotide ribosomal RNA is filed under the name uncultured bacterium. RNAcentral describes it as "partial 16S ribosomal RNA". It matches the Rfam family "Bacterial small subunit ribosomal RNA", at positions 524 to 776 of the family's 1533-position model. The record is from RNAcentral.
UACGUAGGGUGCGAGCGUUGUCCGGAAUUAUUGGGCGUAAAGGGCUCGUAGGCGGUCUGUCGCGUCAGGAGUGAAAACUCGGGGCUCAACCCCGAGCCUGCUUCUGAUACGGGCAGACUAGAGGUAUGCAGGGGAGAACGGAAUUCCUGGUGUAGCGGUGAAAUGCGCAGAUAUCAGGAGGAACACCGGUGGCGAAGGCGGUUCUCUGGGCAUUACCUGACGCUGAGGAGCGAAAGUGUGGGGAGCGAACAGG